GCCGACGUAGCUCAACAGGCAGAGCAGCGGUCUUGUAAACCGCAGGCUAGGGGUUCGAGUCCCCUCGUCGGCUCCA
RNAcentral lists this transfer RNA (76 nucleotides) under Bacillota bacterium. Its description in RNAcentral is "tRNA-Thr". It matches the Rfam family "tRNA". From Rfam's summary of the family: Transfer RNA (tRNA) molecules are approximately 80 nucleotides in length. The record is from RNAcentral. Lineage: Bacteria; Bacillati; Bacillota. RNAcentral also lists the same sequence under 1 other name.